This 594-nucleotide ribosomal RNA is filed under the name Pseudomonas sp. EP_S_24. RNAcentral describes it as "bacterial SSU rRNA". It matches the Rfam family "Bacterial small subunit ribosomal RNA", at positions 38 to 627 of the family's 1533-position model. The record is from RNAcentral. Lineage: Bacteria; Pseudomonadati; Pseudomonadota; Gammaproteobacteria; Pseudomonadales; Pseudomonadaceae.
GGCGGCAGGCCUUACACAUGCAAGUCGAGCGGAUGAGAAGAGCUUGCUCUUCGAUUCAGCGGCGGACGGGUGAGUAAUGCCUAGGAAUCUGCCUGGUAGUGGGGGACAACGUUUCGAAAGGAACGCUAAUACCGCAUACGUCCUACGGGAGAAAGCAGGGGACCUUCGGGCCUUGCGCUAUCAGAUGAGCCUAGGUCGGAUUAGCUAGUUGGUGGGGUAAAGGCUCACCAAGGCGACGAUCCGUAACUGGUCUGAGAGGAUGAUCAGUCACACUGGAACUGAGACACGGUCCAGACUCCUACGGGAGGCAGCAGUGGGGAAUAUUGGACAAUGGGCGAAAGCCUGAUCCAGCCAUGCCGCGUGUGUGAAGAAGGUCUUCGGAUUGUAAAGCACUUUAAGUUGGGAGGAAGGGCAGUAAGUUAAUACCUUGCUGUUUUGACGUUACCAACAGAAUAAGCACCGGCUAACUCUGUGCCAGCAGCCGCGGUAAUACAGAGGGUGCAAGCGUUAAUCGGAAUUACUGGGCGUAAAGCGCGCGUAGGUGGUUCGUUAAGUUGGAUGUGAAAGCCCCGGGCUCAACCUGGGAACUGCAUC